Long non-coding RNA from Triticum urartu, 1516 nucleotides. RefSeq lists it as uncharacterized. The record is from RefSeq and is a predicted model, not a curated record. Lineage: Eukaryota; Viridiplantae; Streptophyta; Magnoliopsida; Poales; Poaceae.
ACGCCAACUUCUUCUUGCAAAAAAUAUAUAAAAAAUGCUAGCCUCUUCCAUUGCUCUCUCCUUCUCAAUGGAGAACAGCGGCGGCACGCUUCUGCUCACGCUCUCCUCGCACUGACACUGUCUCCCUGAUCCGCCUGGAAGCCACCUGCCCAUGGCCGACUCGCUCUCCUCUGCCUCAGCUCACUGUCCUCCUGCUGUCGCUCAGUGGCGAGACCACCACGAUGCCGCUCGCUCUCCUCCCGCCGACCUCCUCUGCCCCAGAUCUCUGCAGAGCACCUCCUCCUAGACGACCUCGCGUGUGCGCCGCCGCCGCUUCACACAUCAACGCCGACACCUUGUUGUCGUCCCGGAGAGCUUCCUUCACGCCGCCUCCGCGCCAGCAAGUCCCGACACCGGCGAGCCACUGCCCUUUGGGUGAUGCGGUGCUCCCUCGUCUGCGUGUGUGGCGGGCCGGCUGGUGCUCUGGGAUUAAGCGCGCACUGCGGCCUCGGCUACAAUUUUUGACUGGUAGUUAAUUGUAAGGGCGAUCUUGCACAAUUCUACCUGAUGUAUUGCAUAGUCCAAGUCUUUCCAGACGAAUACCAUCUACAGACAUUGGAAACAUUGUUGAACACCUUUCCCCAGCUACAGGACAGACAGAGCACGGUCUGGCUGCCGGGACGCCGGCGAAUAGGAACCUGGGCUUGCGACGGAUGCCAAGAUGAGCCAUAGAGUUGCAGGAGCGAGCAGCAGAGCGAAGGGAGGUGCAGAAGAGCAGCUCUAGGAGGCGGCGUGGUGGAGCGGUGACGGCUACGCGUGUCAGUGGUGGUGGUGGUGCUGGGGCGAUGAGCGGUAAGUAACGGCUACGCUCGCUGAUGGUGGUGGUGCUGGGGCGAGGCAGGGCGGCAAGAAAAACACCCAGCGGCCAAGCGUCACGGCGGCGGGUGGGCACGGGGGAAGACAUAUUUGAAGCAAUCAAGUGCAGGUCGACAGAGAACCAACAACCCUGAUUUCAACCCUUUGUGCACAUACCUCAAGCGUAGAAUCGGCCGACGAAUUUCCGGUGAACUAUGGAGCGUUGUCGGACACCAGCUUGUUUUUCGUCGAAGUCUGAGGAGGCGACAUUGGACAGUCUUCCAGCAAAGUAGGCGGAGACGACAUUGGACAGAUUUUGUGGGACGGUGUCUUGUUUUCUGUCGAAGUUGGCAGAGGCGACAGUGGGCAGACUACCGACGAAGGUGGACAGAUUCUGCCAGACGACGGCUUUCCCGCGAAAUCAGUGGAGGUGACUUGAAAUUGCGAUGCAAUUUACGUGGAUUGCCGAUCGAGCCUUUAAUAUGUUAUAUAGCAGUCAAUUUUGUGUGAAAUCCUAGUCGGGAUACUCAUGGCUCCGUACUGGAGUUGGACACCCGUGACUCCGUAUUGGAGUUGUUCUUGUACGCGUGUGCUGCUGGUUGGCUGGAGAUAUAUUAUGGGCUGAUGUAACCAAUAUCAGCCCAAUAAUCCAAAUAAACGUGAAAGGACGGGCGAUCUAACC